This 472-nucleotide ribosomal RNA is filed under the name uncultured organism. Its description in RNAcentral is "partial 16S ribosomal RNA". It matches the Rfam family "Bacterial small subunit ribosomal RNA", at positions 334 to 797 of the family's 1533-position model. The record is from RNAcentral.
CACUCCUGCGGGAGGCAGCAGUGGGGAAUAUUGCACAAUGGGCGCAAGCCUGAUGCAGCCAUGCCGCGUGUAUGAAGAAGGCCUUCGGGUUGUAAAGUACUUUCAGCGGGGAGGAAGGCGAUAAGGUUAAUAACCUUGUUGAUUGACGUUACCCGCAGAAGAAGCACCGGCUAACUCCGUGCCAGCAGCCGCGGUAAUACGGAGGGUGCAAGCGUUAAUCGGAAUUACUGGGCGUAAAGCGCACGCAGGCGGUCUGUCAAGUCGGAUGUGAAAUCCCCGGGCUCAACCUGGGAACUGCAUUCGAAACUGGCAGGCUAGAGUCUUGUAGAGGGGGGUAGAAUUCCAGGUGUAGCGGUGAAAUGCGUAGAGAUCUGGAGGAAUACCGGUGGCGAAGGCGCCCCCCUGGACAAAGACUGACGCUCAGGUGCGAAAGCGUGGGGAGCAAACAGGAUUAGAAACCCCAGUAGUCCCA